RNAcentral lists this ribosomal RNA (433 nucleotides) under uncultured bacterium. RNAcentral describes it as "partial 16S ribosomal RNA". It matches the Rfam family "Bacterial small subunit ribosomal RNA", at positions 29 to 507 of the family's 1533-position model. The record is from RNAcentral.
AGCGAACGCUGGCGGCAGGCCUAACACAUGCAAGUCGAACGAAGUCUUCGGACUUAGUGGCGGACGGGUGAGUAACACGUGGGAACGUGCCUUUAGGUUUGGAAUAACUCAGGGAAACUUGUGCUAAUACCGAAUGUGCCCUUCGGGGGAAAGAUUUAUCGCCUUUAGAGCGGCCCGCGUCUGAUUAGCUAGUUGGUGAGGUAAAGGCUCACCAAGGCGACGAUCAGUAGCUGGUCUGAGAGGAUGAUCAGCCACAUUGGGACUGAGACACGGCCCAAACUCCUACGGGAGGCAGCAGUGGGGAAUCUUGCGCAAUGGGCGAAAGCCUGACGCAGCCAUGCCGCGUGAAUGAUGAAGGUCUUAGGAUUGUAAAAUUCUUUCACCGGGGACGAUAAUGACGGUACCCGGAGAAGAAGCCCCGGCUAACUUCGUG